AACGAACGCUGGCGGCAGGCUUAACACAUGCAAGUCGAACGCGUGUAGCAAUACACGAGUGGCGCACGGGUGAGUAACGCGUGGAUAUCUGCCUUUUGGUUCGGAAUAACCCCGGGAAACUGGGGCUAAUACCGGAUGGUUCCUUCGGGAUAAAGAUUUAUCGCCAAAAGAUGAGUCCGCGUACGAUUAGCUAGUUGGUGAGGUAAUGGCUCACCAAGGCGACGAUCGUUAGCUGGUCNGAGAGGACGAUCAGCCACACUGGGACUGAGACACGGCCCAGACUCCUACGGGAGGCAGCAGUGGGGAAUAUUGGACAAUGGGGGCAACCCUGAUCCAGCCAUGCCGCGUGAGUGAUGAAGGCCUUCGGUU
This 369-nucleotide ribosomal RNA is filed under the name uncultured bacterium. Its description in RNAcentral is "bacterial SSU rRNA". It matches the Rfam family "Bacterial small subunit ribosomal RNA", at positions 29 to 423 of the family's 1533-position model. The record is from RNAcentral.